This 1273-nucleotide small RNA is filed under the name uncultured beta proteobacterium. Its description in RNAcentral is "bacterial SSU rRNA". The stretch from base 1 to 463 matches the Rfam family "Bacterial small subunit ribosomal RNA", at positions 1064 to 1533 of the family's 1533-position model. Lineage: Bacteria; Pseudomonadati; Pseudomonadota; Betaproteobacteria. The record is from RNAcentral.
GUCGUGAGAUGUUGGGUUAAGUCCCGCAACGAGCGCAACCCUUGUCCCUAGUUGCUACGCAAGGGCACUCUAGGGAGACUGCCGGUGACAAACCGGAGGAAGGUGGGGAUGACGUCAAGUCCUCAUGGCCCUUAUGGGUAGGGCUUCACACGUCAUACAAUGGCCGGUACAGAGGGUUGCCAAAGCGCGAGCUGGAGCCAAUCCCAGAAAGCCGGUCGUAGUCCGGAUUGCAGUCUGCAACUCGACUGCAUGAAGUCGGAAUCGCUAGUAAUCGCGGAUCAGCAUGUCGCGGUGAAUACGUUCCCGGGUCUUGUACACACCGCCCGUCACACCAUGGGAGCGGGAUGUACCAGAAGUAGGUAGGCUAACCGCAAGGGGGCCGCUUACCACGGUGCGUUUCGUGACUGGGGUGAAGUCGUAACAAGGUAGCCGUAUCGGAAGGUGCGGCUGGAUCACCUCCUUUCUAGAGAUAACCCAUGUCUUCAAGUGUCCACUCUUAUCGGUUGUUGCUCUCAGGGAUCAGGCAUCAGGGAUCAGGUAUCAGUGAAAUAGAGCGCGCGCGAAGCGCGCGGUAAAAUUCUGAUUCCUGAUGCCUGAUCCCUGAUUCCUGACAUGGGCCUGUAGCUCAGCUGGUUAGAGCACCGUCUUGAUAAGGCGGGGGUCGAUGGUUCGAAUCCAUCCAGACCCACCAACCAGGGAUCAGGUAUCAGUCAAUAGAGCGCGCGCGAAGCGCGCGGUAAAAUUCUGAUUCCUGAUGCCUGAUCCCUGAUUCCCGAAAAAGGGCUGUAGCUCAGUUGGGAGAGCACCUGCUUUGCAAGCAGGGGGUCGUCGGUUCGAUCCCGUCCAGCUCCACCAGUGUCAGGGAUCAGAAGUCAGGAAUCAGGAAUCAGAAGAGGUCAUAAGCAAGCGAUGAGGCGUUUGCUCCUGACCUUUGGGUCAGACCGCAGGUCAGAGGUUCGGUAGGGCAGUUUCUGAUGCCUGAUUCCUGACCUCUGAUACCUGAAAACGGUUGUUCUUUAAAAAAAUGGAAGAAGUAAAGCGCAUACGACGGAACACUGUCGUAUGUUGGGUUAGAUUGUAUCGAACCAUUCUGUCCUAGUCCGAUAGAGUGGAAAUCGCAAACACCCGUAACAAAGAGCAGCAGUGCUCAGCGUUAUGGGGUCAAGCGACUAAGUGCGUGUGGUGGAUGCCUUGGCGAUUACAGGCGAUGAAGGACGUGGCAGCCUGCGAAAAGCUCCGGGGAGCUGGCAAACAAGCAUUGAUCCGGAGAUGU